RNAcentral lists this long non-coding RNA (1115 nucleotides) under Nicotiana benthamiana. RNAcentral's name for it is "long non-coding RNA (NBEN_LNC012856)". The record is from RNAcentral. Lineage: Eukaryota; Viridiplantae; Streptophyta; Magnoliopsida; Solanales; Solanaceae.
GAACAUUCUAUCUAAGAAAUUGGUUGAAUGAGGCAAAAAAGUCGGGAUAGGUAGAAGGGGAAACUCUCUUUUUCCCAAUCGCCCAUGGCGAAAACAAAGAUGGCGUAGACCCGGUCAGGUAGUUAGGGAAUUCGCACUCGCUGUAACAGAACUUGAUGGGCGAGCUCUUUACAGUGGGGGAUUCUAGGCUGGCUAGGGAUAUUUAUAAGCUCUAUAGAUUAAGGGAUAUUAGAUAGAGGCUGGCUUAAAGGAGCUCCCCGCAAUGGGACUGCUGGAAAAGGCCUGAUGAAAAAGCUUAAAAACUCAUUUGCUUUUGUCCGAGAAUCCGCUUGCUCGGCUCUUUUUCUUAAUAAAAUAGAUGUCUAGCCCUUAUCCUGCUAACGACGAACUUCUAUAUGUAACCUAGCAAGGAAAGCCUAAACAAAGCGUCACUCCUAGUAGUGCACUCACUCUCACUUCCUUUUACAGCAACCUAUUAAAAAAAAGCCGAGUCUAUUUCAAGGAAAUUGUCCGGUAUUCACUUAUAUUAUCUCGAGUAAUCGAAUCGCCCGCUUCAGGCUAGAGAGAAGAGAAAAAGAAAGAAGGCCUUGGACCGGAAAGAAUUCUUUUUUGAUUUCUCGACUAAUUCAAUUGGUUGCGGGCCGCCUUUCUAUAGGAUAGGCUCCCGGUCCUAUUCCUGUUCAGAGAGAUCUUCAUUCAGGAAAGGUAAGGACUCAGAAUCAAGCCAUUGCCAGCCCCCUCCUCAUGGAGGGACCAGACGAAGGACGCUGUGCGCUAGUCGGAACUUUCAGCGGUUGGCAUGUGGAACCAAUAAUCCCAUCUGUCCUGUCUAUAGGCCUAUGCCUUUCCUUAAUCACUGCGUCGUUACUGACACACUAUCUGACCUUGAAGGUUAUGGUAAGGUUGGUACUCCUUUCUUUAGAAACGAAUCCCCAUUAGCUCUGAAGCUGGGAAAAAAUCCGCUAUGUCCCUAUUCGAAUUCAUUCUCUCAGAAAGACCUGGCUAUUACGAUUGAUUGCUUUAUGGCUGAACAGCCUAUACUCCGUUCUUUAUCUCGUUGAACUUGUAGAAAGUUUCAAAAAAAGAUAGAUAACAGGAAGAGAGAGAGAGAAAGA